UUUGAGGGGAAUGUUGUCUGGCUCGAGGACUUUUUGUUCAUCAAUCUAAUCGAACUUUCUACCUGUAGAUCUAGUAUCUUAUUUAAGAUUGAUCACGUAUUAGGGUUGUCGGACCAGGCUUCAUUCCCCCCAAU
Non-coding RNA from Populus trichocarpa (black cottonwood), 134 nucleotides. Lineage: Eukaryota; Viridiplantae; Streptophyta; Magnoliopsida; Malpighiales; Salicaceae. The record is from Rfam.